UGGCUUACUUGGCCCAGGCCUUGUCGGGCCGCUCACUUGCCCUGAGCGGCGUGACGGCCGGCCCGGUGUUCGGCGUACCGGACAGCUACCCA
This 92-nucleotide transfer RNA is filed under the name Paraburkholderia nemoris. Its description in RNAcentral is "Paraburkholderia sp. LMG 31836 tRNA-Ala". The record is from RNAcentral. Lineage: Bacteria; Pseudomonadati; Pseudomonadota; Betaproteobacteria; Burkholderiales; Burkholderiaceae.